This 468-nucleotide ribosomal RNA is filed under the name uncultured bacterium. RNAcentral's name for it is "partial 16S ribosomal RNA". It matches the Rfam family "Bacterial small subunit ribosomal RNA", at positions 28 to 507 of the family's 1533-position model. The record is from RNAcentral.
GACGAACGCUGGCGGCGUGCUUAACACAUGCAAGUCGAACGGAAAGGCCCUGCUUUUGUGGGGUGCUCGAGUGGCGAACGGGUGUGUAACACGUGAGUAACCUGCCCUUGAAUUUGGGAUAACUUCAGGAAACUGGGGCUCAUACCGGAUAGGAGCUCCUGCUGCAUGGUGGGGGUUGGAAAGUUUCGGCGGUUGGGGAUGGUCUCGCGGCUUAUCAGCUUGUUGGUGGGGUUGUGGCUUACCAAGGCUUUGAGGGGUAGCCGGCCUGAGAGGGUGACCGGCCACAUUGGGACUGAGAUAGGGCCCAGACUCCUACGGGAGGCAGCAGUGGGGAAGAUUGCACAAUGGGCGGAAGCCUGAUGCAGCAACGCCGCGUGCGGGAUGACGGCCUUCGGGUUGUAAACCGCUUUCGCCUGUGACGAAGCGUGAGUGACGGUAAUUGGUAAAGAAGCACCGGCUAACUACGUG